Molecule: RNA transcript, 1810 nt
Organism: Rhea pennata
Lineage: Eukaryota; Metazoa; Chordata; Aves; Rheiformes; Rheidae
Gene: DERL3
Gene name: derlin 3
Exons: 11
Source: RefSeq, a predicted model, not a curated record
GGCUCGGCGCUGGCGCGGCCCGCCAUGGCUUACCAGGGCUUCGCGCAGGAGUACCUGGGCAUGCCGGCCGUGACGCGGGCCUACACCACGGCCUGCGUGCUCACCACCGCCGCCGUGCAGCUGGAGUUCAUCACCCCCUUCCAGCUGUACUUCAACCCUGACCUCAUCUUCAGGAAGUUCCAGAUAUGGAGGCUGAUCACCAACUUCCUCUUUUUUGGGCCCCUGGGAUUCAGUUUCUUUUUCAACAUGAUAUUUCUGUACAGGUACUGCCGCAUGCUGGAAGAAGGCUCCUUCCGUGGAAGGACAGCUGACUUUGUCUUCAUGUUUCUCUUUGGAGGAUUUCUCAUGACACUGUUUGGCCUCUUUGCCAGCCUGUUUUUCUUGGGCCAAGCUUUCACCAUCAUGCUGGUGUAUGUGUGGAGUCGCAGGAACCCUUACAUCCGUAUGAACUUUUUUGGGCUCCUUAACUUCCAGGCUCCCUUCUUGCCCUGGGUCCUGAUGGGAUUCUCCCUGCUUCUGGGUAAUUCAAUCAUCAUCGACUUAUUGGGGAUUGCAGUGGGUCACAUCUAUUAUUUCCUGGAGGAUGUCUUCCCCAACCAGCCAGGAGGAAAGAAGUUGCUGUUAACCCCAGGCUUCCUGAAGAUGGUAUUUGACACACCGGAAGAGGAUCCCAAUUAUAACACUCUCCCUGAGGAUCAGCCAGAAAACCAGCCUGGAGACCAAGACCAGAACCAGCAGCAGCGUCCACAAUAACGCAGAGGACUCUUCCAUGUGACCAGAUUCUUCUCUUUCUGCCGGACUUUUGCCGUGCCCCAGAGAUCCUACUGGAGUAACACCAGUUGCCAUUCUAGGAGAGGAUGAAAAAACAAUACAGGUGCUAAUCUUGUUCUGGAAGAUGCUGCUUCUGCAGGCUAAGCAGCCUCAGACUCAACAAGUGCUUGCUCUGUGCUUUGCUCUUGACAGAGCUGGUGUUUGAAUCCCUGAAAGGAGUUUCUUCAAGGGCCUGAACAGAACUGUUGGGCUGCCAGCAAAAUCUGCCAUGCUUGCAACGCUCUUCGUUUCCUGGCAGAGAAAGCACUGCAGAUGGAAUUUGUCAAAGCAACUGCAGCAGUUCCCUCCUCACAACAACCCACUACAUAACUGGCUGACAGUGUUCAAACUGACUUUUCAGGAUGAAAAGGCCCCGGAAAUAAUAAAUCAUCGAAGGACUCAAAGGUUCAAAUAGAGAGGCAAUGAUCAACAUAAAACUGAGUGGCUGAACAGACACAUCAAAUAUUACUGAAAGCAGAGUCUCCUUCAGCAAAGGAGCACAGGCUGAGAAGACUUCAAGAAGGGGCAAAAACCAUGGGAUAGAUCUGGCUGAACUGCAGAAACUAUGUGUACUUUAAGAGUCCAUAAUGUUCUGGGAAGGAAGAGUUAAGCAUAUGAUCAGGAUGGACAAUUAAGGCAACCACAAAGAGAGUUCAGAGGAAGAAAAUGAGACAUUAGUAUAUAUUUUAAUAGCACCAAAGGUCAGAGUGGAGAUUCCUUCUCUAGCAAAGCUAAGAAUAACACACAGAUAAGACUUACAUCUUCUUGGACUGUGAGAUCGCUGAUUUUCUGUUGGGGAAAGAAAAAAAUGACAACAAGUCAGCAGGAUACAUGGAAGGAGGAGACAUUAAGUGCAUAAUGAAUAAUUUUUAUUAUGCUCUAGCCUGAAGAGUGUACAACAGGUUAUUCUGCUAGGAAAUUUAAUUUCUUGUUAUUAGCCUCCCACCAAGAACAACCUGAAACAGCAGUAUUCUCACUGUGACAGUUAUAUCAGUAGCAA